GAUGAACGCUGGCGGCGUGCCUAAUACAUGCAAGUCGAGCGAACAGAUGAGGAGCUUGCUCCUCUGACGUUAGCGGCGGACGGGUGAGUAACACGUGGAUAACCUACCUAUAAGACUGGGAUAACUUCGGGAAACCGGAGCUAAUACCGGAUAAUAUAUUGAACCGCAUGGUUCAAUAGUGAAAGACGGUUUUGCUGUCACUUAUAGAUGGAUCCGCGCCGCAUUAGCUAGUUGGUAAGGUAACGGCUUACCAAGGCGACGAUGCGUAGCCGACCUGAGAGGGUGAUCGGCCACACUGGAACUGAGACACGGUCCAGACUACUACGGGAGGCAGCAGUAGGGAAUCUUCCGCAAUGGGCGAAAGCCUGACGGAGCAACGCCGCGUGAGUGAUGAAGGUCUUCGGAUCGUAAAACUCUGUUAUUAGGGAAGAACAAAUGUGUAAGUAACUAUGCACGUCUUGACGGUACCUAAUCAGAAAGCCACGGCUAACUACGUG
Molecule: ribosomal RNA, 497 nt
Filed under: uncultured bacterium
Lineage: Bacteria
Description: partial 16S ribosomal RNA
Rfam family: Bacterial small subunit ribosomal RNA
Source: RNAcentral